Molecule: ribosomal RNA, 117 nt
Filed under: Sinocyclocheilus rhinocerous
Lineage: Eukaryota; Metazoa; Chordata; Actinopteri; Cypriniformes; Cyprinidae
Source: RNAcentral
UUCAGCAGCCAUAUCACCCUGCAGCCCAAGACUGAUCUCCCACUGAAGCUAAGCAGGGUUGAGCCUGGUCAGUACCUGGAUGGGAGACCUCCUGGGAAAACUAGGUUGCUGCUGGAA